This 538-nucleotide ribosomal RNA is filed under the name uncultured bacterium. RNAcentral's name for it is "partial 16S ribosomal RNA". It matches the Rfam family "Bacterial small subunit ribosomal RNA", at positions 355 to 902 of the family's 1533-position model. The record is from RNAcentral.
UGGGGAAUAUUGCACAAUGGGCGCAAGCCUGAUGCAGCAACGCCGCGUGAGGGAUGACGGCCUUCGGGUUGUAAACCUCUUUUAGUAGGGAAGAAGCGAAAGUGACGGUACCUGCAGAAAAAAGCACCGGCUAACUACGUGCCAGCAGCCGCGGUAAUACGUAGGGUGCGAGCGUUGUCCGGAAUUAUUGGGCGUAAAGAGCUCGUAGGCGGUCUGUCGCGUCUGCCGUGAAAACCCGAGGCUCAACCUCGGGCCUGCAGUGGGUACGGGCAGACUAGAGUGCGGUAGGGGAGAAUGGAAUUCCUGGUGUAGCGGUGGAAUGCGCAGAUAUCAGGAGGAACACCGAUGGCGAAGGCAGUUCUCUGGGCCGUAACUGACGCUGAGGAGCGGAAGCGUGGGGAGCGAGCAGGAUUAGAUACCCUGGUAGUCCACGCCGUAAACGUUGGGCGCUAGAUGUGGGGACCAUUCCACGGUUUCCGUGUCGCAGCUAACGCAUUAAGCGCCCCGCCUGGGGAGUACGGCCGCAAGGCUAAAACUU